This is a long non-coding RNA of Myotis lucifugus (little brown bat), 477 nucleotides long. RefSeq lists it as uncharacterized. The transcript is spliced from 3 exons. NCBI's taxonomy places the organism in Eukaryota, Metazoa, Chordata, Mammalia, Chiroptera, Vespertilionidae. The record is from RefSeq and is a predicted model, not a curated record.
AGUAAGAAGAUGAAAGAGAAAUGACUUCUAUUGUGUUUUGCCCUAUUAUAGGUAGUUGAUUGGGAGAAGAAAUUUACAGAGUAUUCAUUAUGAGGGCUGGAGGCCUGAAAACUGCUUUCCUGAGAUUUCUUUGGCAGCUGGCUGGUAUAAGACUCUGACAGUGGGCGGUGAUAGCAGGGAUACUUUCUGGGAACUUUGGAACCCAGGACUCCUGCACUAGCAACAGAACGGCCUGGGAUUCCUGCAAGGCAGCGGCAGCAGUGCGUGGUCCACAGUACUAGCUGCGGUGGACUGCUCCGCGGGCACUACCCCAGCUCCAGCCCGGCACUGAUCCUCCUGCAGGUAACACCAUUUCCCCUUCUGCUCCUGUAGCCUGGGAUGGCGGCGAACUGCAGAUACUGACCAUUGAGGACCUUUCCUUUUCCCUUCUGGCUACUCCAGCCCUUCUAACUCUGUUGUAGCUUAUCUCGAAAUGUA